UCUUGCUCUGCAGAACCUUCCUCUAUUCAGCUCCCAUAUUAGUACUUCCAUGAUCCAUCAAGAGAGUCUUUACUCGCAUUUCCUAAAUGACCAUGUUCUUUGGCAAAAUCACCAGCAGUUUUUGACUUAAUUUGCAAGAAACCCUAAUGCUGCUGGAAUAUUGAAAAACCAUUUCAGAAUUAAUUUUUUUUCUUUGGGUUUCUUCUGUAGCAACUUCUUUGCAUCGUUUCCAUCUGUGGUGGUCAACCUUCAUAAGGUUCUUGGGAGACCCCUUAGUCAUUGCUUCCUUCGCUUGUUUUAUAGAACCUCUUACUUUUUUUUGGCCAGUCACCAAUAUUUCUGAUCUUAGCAAAACCUUUCAGUUGUUGUGCUGCACCGCAUGCUCCUCCUUGAUUGUUUCACUUAACACUGUAGCAUCAUCUUUUGUUGCAUCUGCAUCAGUAGACAUGCAUAUUUCCAAUCCAGUAUCAAGUCCCGUUGUGCUCAGCUCAGAAGACCCCUUUUUUUUUUUUUGGAAAAUCAGCUCAAAAGACCAUGGUGGCACACCAGAAUUGACUGACAGAGCUCUAGCUCAAAUAUAAUCCUCAAAUUUCACCAGGGAGGUCUGGCAAACACAUCGCCACCAGGCCUGGCAAAUACUUCUUUCCCAGUGUGGUCAACUAACUCAGAAGUCAGAACCAGACAAGCAUUUAGCAUAAGAUUGUAUAUCUUAUGUGCAUGACCAUCGUCCAAACUACAUAAACUCUUUGAGAUUGUAACUGUAAAUAUAUUCUGCUCUACAUGUUGCAAUUCGAAACUGAUAAUUGAGUUAGCUAUGUGUAAUUACGGUACUCUAUGGCUCCUUGAUCAUGAAAUGAAC
This 859-nucleotide long non-coding RNA is filed under the name Fragaria vesca (wild strawberry). RNAcentral's name for it is "long non-coding RNA (FVES_LNC001352)". Lineage: Eukaryota; Viridiplantae; Streptophyta; Magnoliopsida; Rosales; Rosaceae. The record is from RNAcentral.